RNAcentral lists this ribosomal RNA (460 nucleotides) under uncultured bacterium. RNAcentral describes it as "partial 16S ribosomal RNA". It matches the Rfam family "Bacterial small subunit ribosomal RNA", at positions 338 to 795 of the family's 1533-position model. The record is from RNAcentral.
CCUACGGGUGGCUGCAGUGAGGAAUAUUGGUCAAUGGACGAGAGUCUGAACCAGCCAAGUAGCGUGAAGGAUGACUGCCCUACGGGUUGUAAACCUCUUUUAUAUGGGAAUAAAAUGCUCCACGUGUGGGAUUUUGUAUGUACCAUAUGAAUAAGGAUCGGCUAACUCCGUGCCAGCAGCCGCGGUAAUACGGAGGAUCCGAGCGUUAUCCGGAUUUAUUGGGUUUAAAGGGAGCGCAGGCGGAUUGGUAAGUCAGGUGUGAAAGUUUGCGGCUCAACCGUAGACUUGCAGUUGAAACUGGGAGUCUUGAGUACAGUAGGGGUAGGCGGAAUGCGUGGUGUAGCGGUGAAAUGCUUAGAUAUCACGAAGAACUCCGAUUGCGAAGGCAGUUCACUGGACUGCAACUGACGCUGAGGCUCGAAAGUGUGGGUAUCAAACAGGAUUAGAUACCCCUGUAGUC